CCAGUAGUCAUAUGCUUGUCUCAAAGAUUAAGCCAUGCAUGUCUAAGUAUAAGCAAUUAUACCGUGAAACUGCGAAUGGCUCAUUAAAUCAGUUAUCGUUUAUUUGAUAGUACCUUACUACUUGGAUAACCGUGGUAAUUCUAGAGCUAAUACAUGCUAAAAACCCCAACUUCGGGAGGGGUGUAUUUAUUAGAUAAAAAACCAAUGCCCUUCGGGGCUCCUUGGUGAUUCAUGAUAACUUCUCAGAUCGCAUAGCCUUGAGCUGGCGACGGUUCAUUCAAAUUUCUGCCCUAUCAACUUUCGAUGGUAAGGUAGUGGCUUACCAUGGUUGCAACGGGUAACGGGGAAUUAGGGUUCGAUUCCGGAGAGGGAGCCUGAGAAACGGCUACCACAUCCAAGGAAGGCAGCAGGCGCGCAAAUUACCCAAUUCCGAUACGGAGAGGUAGUGACAAUAAAUACCUGAUACAGGGCUCUUUUGGGUCUUGUAAUUGGAAUGAGUACAAUUUAAACCUCUUAACGAGGAACAAUUGGAGGGCAAGUCUGGUGCCAGCAGCCGCGGUAAUUCCAGCUCCAAUAGCGUAUAUUAAAGUUGUUGCAGUUAAAAAGCUCGUAGUUGAACCUUUGGCCUGGCUGGCAGGUCCGCCUCACCGCGUGCACUUGUCCGGCCGGGCCUUUUCUUCUGGAGAACCGCAUGCCCUUCACUGGGUGUGUUGGGGACCAGGACUUUUACUUUGAAAAAAUUAGAGUGUUCAAAGCAGGCCUUUGCUCGAAUACGUUAGCAUGGAAUAAUAGAAUAGGACGUGCGGUCCUAUUUUGUUGGUUUCUAGGACCGCCGUAAUGAUUAAUAGGGACAGUUGGGGGCAUCAGUAUUCAAUUGUCAGAGGUGAAAUUCUUGGAUUUAUUGAAGACUAACUACUGCGAAAGCAUUUGCCAAAGAUGUUUUCAUUAAUCAGUGAACGAAAGUUAGGGGAUCGAAGACGAUCAGAUACCGUCGUAGUCUUAACCAUAAACUAUGCCGACUAGGGAUCGGGCGGUGUUUCUAAUGUGACCCGCUCGGCACCUUACGAGAAAUCAAAGUGUUUGGGUUCUGGGGGGAGUAUGGUCGCAAGGCUG
RNAcentral lists this ribosomal RNA (1113 nucleotides) under Phaeosphaeriaceae sp. SR1. Its description in RNAcentral is "SSU rRNA". It matches the Rfam family "Eukaryotic small subunit ribosomal RNA", at positions 17 to 1139 of the family's 1831-position model. Lineage: Eukaryota; Fungi; Ascomycota; Dothideomycetes; Pleosporales; Phaeosphaeriaceae. The record is from RNAcentral.